AAACACACCAUUUUAGGGCUCCUUGUCAGAAAAAAAGUUAUAAAUAGACCCUUAUCCCAUUUUAGAAGAAAGGGGAGAAAGAGGGGAAGAAAAGGAAAAGGAGGAGGGCAGCAGCUGAAGAGUCAAAAACGUCACCCACACCAUUUCCAACCAAAUUUGGAGAUUUCUUUCUUUUCUUGCAUAUUUCCUACCUUUCUAGUAUUGGGUUUCUUAUUUCUUAGCUUAGAUUAA
This 231-nucleotide unclassified non-coding RNA is filed under the name Hevea brasiliensis (rubber tree). Lineage: Eukaryota; Viridiplantae; Streptophyta; Magnoliopsida; Malpighiales; Euphorbiaceae. The record is from RNAcentral.